Molecule: ribosomal RNA, 419 nt
Filed under: bacterium
Lineage: Bacteria
Description: partial 16S ribosomal RNA
Rfam family: Bacterial small subunit ribosomal RNA
Source: RNAcentral
UGGGGGAUAUUGCACAAUGGGCGAAAGCCUGAUGCAGCGACGCCGCGUGGGGGAUGAAGGCCUUCGGGUUGUAAACUUCUUUUGCUCUGAACAAGGCAUGCUAAUGGGUGUGUUGAGUGUAGGGGUUGAUUAGCGCCGGCUAACUACGUGCCAGCAGCCGCGGUAAUACGUAGGGCGCGAGCGUUGUCCGGAAUUAUUGGGCGUAAAGGGCUUGUAGGUGGCUGGUUGCGUCUGUCGUGAAAGCUCAUGGCUUAACUGUGGGUUUGCGGUGGGUACGGGCUGGCUUGAGUGCAGUAGGGGAGGCUGGAAUUCCUGGUGUGGCGGUGGAAUGCGCAGAUAUCAGGAGGGAUACCGGUGGCGAAGGCGGGUCUCUGGGCUGUAACUGACACUGAGGAGCGAAAGCAUGGGGAGCGAACAGG